This 255-nucleotide ribosomal RNA is filed under the name uncultured bacterium. Its description in RNAcentral is "partial small subunit ribosomal RNA". It matches the Rfam family "Bacterial small subunit ribosomal RNA", at positions 26 to 285 of the family's 1533-position model. The record is from RNAcentral.
AGGACGAACGCUGGCGGCGUGCUUAACACAUGCAAGUCGAACGGAAAGGCCCUUCGGGGUACUCGAGUGGCGAACGGGUGAGUAACACGUGGGUGAUCUGCCCUGCACUUCGGGAUAAGCCUGGGAAACUGGGUCUAAUACCGGAUAUGACUACGAAUCGCAUGGUUUGUGGUGGAAAGCUUUUGCGGUGUGGGAUGGGCCCGCGGCCUAUCAGCUUGUUGGUGGGGUGAUGGCCUACCAAGGCGACGACGGGUA